This 468-nucleotide ribosomal RNA is filed under the name uncultured bacterium. RNAcentral describes it as "partial 16S ribosomal RNA". It matches the Rfam family "Bacterial small subunit ribosomal RNA", at positions 28 to 507 of the family's 1533-position model. The record is from RNAcentral.
GACGAACGCUGGCGGCGUGCUUAACACAUGCAAGUCGAACGGAAAGGCCCUGCUUUUGUGGGGUGCUCGAGUGGCGAACGGGUGAGUAACACGUGAGUAACCUGCCCUUGACUUUGGGAUAACUUCAGGAAACUGGGGCUAAUACCGGAUAGGAGCUCCUGCUGCAUGGUGGGGGUUGGAAAGUUUCGGCGGUUGGGGAUGGACUCGCGGCUUAUCAGCUUGUUGGUGGGGUAGUGGCUUACCAAGGCUUUGACGGGUAGCCGGCCUGAGAGGGUGACCGGCCACAUUGGGACUGAGAUACGGCCCAGACUCCUACGGGAGGCAGCAGUGGGGAAUAUUGCACAAUGGGCGGAAGCCUGAUGCAGCAACGCCGCGUGCGGGAUGACGGCCUUCGGGUUGUAAACCGCUUUCGCCUGUGACGAAGCGUGAGUGACGGUAAUGGGUAAAGAGGCACCGGCUAACUAUGUG